This 253-nucleotide unclassified non-coding RNA is filed under the name uncultured Alphaproteobacteria bacterium. RNAcentral describes it as "contains 16S-23S intergenic spacer region". It matches the Rfam family "Bacterial small subunit ribosomal RNA", at positions 524 to 776 of the family's 1533-position model. The record is from RNAcentral. Lineage: Bacteria; Pseudomonadati; Pseudomonadota; Alphaproteobacteria.
UACGAAGGGGGCUAGCGUUGCUCGGAAUGACUGGGCGUAAAGGGCGCGUAGGCGGUUUGGACAGUUGGGCGUGAAAUUCCCGGGCUUAACCUGGGGGCUGCGCUCAAUACAUCCAGGCUUGAGUGGGGAAGAGGGUCGUGGAAUUCCCAGUGUAGAGGUGAAAUUCGUAGAUAUUGGGAAGAACACCGGUGGCGAAGGCGGCGACCUGGUCCUUUACUGACGCUGAGGCGCGAAAGCGUGGGGAGCAAACAGG